UAUUAUGAGAGUUUGAUCCUGGCUCAGGACGAACGCUGGCGGCGUGCCUAAUACAUGCAAGUCGAACGCUUCUUUCCUCCCGAGUGCUUGCACUCAAUUGGAAAGAGGAGUGGCGGACGGGUGAGUAACACGUGGGUAACCUACCCAUCAGAGGGGGAUAACACUUGGAAACAGGUGCUAAUACCGCAUAACAGUUUAUGCCGCAUGGCAUAAGAGUGAAAGGCGCUUUCG
Molecule: ribosomal RNA, 231 nt
Filed under: Staphylococcus epidermidis
Lineage: Bacteria; Bacillati; Bacillota; Bacilli; Caryophanales; Staphylococcaceae
Also listed under: 1 other name
Description: partial 16S ribosomal RNA
Rfam family: Bacterial small subunit ribosomal RNA
Source: RNAcentral